This 1139-nucleotide long non-coding RNA is filed under the name Phoenix dactylifera (date palm). Its description in RNAcentral is "long non-coding RNA (PDAC_LNC015728)". The record is from RNAcentral. Lineage: Eukaryota; Viridiplantae; Streptophyta; Magnoliopsida; Arecales; Arecaceae.
CCUGUUACCCAUGUAUGAGGCUGCGUACUAUUGUGGGCGGUAGUCGGCAAUAGCACGGCCGUGUCACGGAUCCGGACCCGGGGCGUGACAAAAUCCAUCAUGCUUUAAAAUCACUUUCAUAAAUGUCACAUAAAUUUUAUUUGAAGUUGAAGAUUUUUUUUAAAUAAGUACAUAGAAAAGCAUGGAUUAUAAAGCAAAUCCCUUUUAACUUGACAUAACUAUUAUCAUUUUAAUUUUUAGUAUACUAUAUUAAUCUAUCUAUAAUGUGUACCAUCCAUUUAUGAGUACUAAGGUUGUAAAUAUAUGGAUAGACACAUUAAAAUUCCGGUGGCUUCUUUUAGACUUUCGUGUUUGUUGGCAUCAGUGAAUUUUGUCUUGCUAGUUUGUGGACCCAAGCACGCUCUGACAUGAGAUCAUAAAAUAAACAUCAAUAUGACAACUACAAACCAUGACAACCACCAUAUUCUUGCUAUGAUAACUAUGCCUUUGGAACAAAGGCCGCCUCAGGAAUGAGAAAAUGUAAUGGAACACAUUAUAUUACUCCUAGGUACCACUUAAAAGGAUAGACAAAACCAUGAUUAAAAUUCUCCUCAUGUCUUCUUUUAUUUCAAUAAAAAGAAUUCCUAUUAAAAAUCUAAAUCAACCGAAUUGAUGAUCCCAUCAUUAGAUCUUAACUCGAUGCACAUGAAUGUUAGGGUGUCCCCUAUUCUAAGCGAUGCGCCACAACCCGACCCAAUUGUGGUGAGAAGCGAGCAAGGGUUGGCUAGAUCGUUAUCACAAGCAACCCCCUACAACAUGACUAGAGUUGGUCGCAGGCUGGGCCUCGGACCUAAACUCUAUUCAUCUUUAAUCGAGCUUCAGAUCGUGCCUAUUUAAAAUUUGAUCUUUUCCAUGCCCAAUCCCUGCCCAUGAUCAGCUCUAAACAUGGCCCAGUUAUAGUGAUAAAUAAACAAGGAUUAGAUGGGUCAUCCAUAAAUGAUCCGACCGAAGUGAUAAAUAAGCAAAUAUUAGUUAGGUUGUUGCUUGCAAAAGACCUGCUACAGUACAACCUGACUGUAGUGACAAAUAAGCAAGGAUUAGGUAGGAUUGAAGAGUCUUGUAUUAGUAAUCACUAUUGGAGUCAUAUGGAGAUAAGGGAA